ACCACGUAGCUCGAGCCACCACCGAUCCCCUCCACCUUUUUGCAAGAGCCACCGUCGAACCGUACGACCGAUUCGCAGAUUCGCAUUGCCGUGUUUCAACCCCGAAACGGCACGUCUUUGUCGCAAAUGAACUUCCACACGGAAUCCCCUUGUAAGCAUACAGACGGUGAUUCGAUCGAUCGACCAACAGUUUCCAAGUUUCGUGACCGUGCAAGAAGAUGACGAUGUUCGGUGGAAUGUUCGAAGAUACUGCGAUGCGAAAGACACAAACAGGACAAGCACUCAAUGUAUGGACUACGCUACAGGAGAAAGCCAGCAUUAAAGGGGAGCGUGUUCCUGGAUGAGCGUGCGUCUAUCCUUAACAAAUUGGCGACGAAGCUUACGAUAACGUAAAGAAGUCCGUUUGGAUACCCCGGUAAUUUUGAUAGAGGCAAUGAGUUACUCCUUCGUGUAAUUCAAUCCAUGCAUGGUAGAUGACGAUACGUAUAUUACUAUCCUUUCCAAAAUGUUAUUUAUGUUGAAUACGAGUGCUGAGAUUUGAAUAAAUAUAUUUUUUCUAGAAA
Long non-coding RNA from Bombus terrestris (buff-tailed bumblebee), 563 nucleotides. RefSeq lists it as uncharacterized. The record is from RefSeq and is a predicted model, not a curated record. NCBI's taxonomy places the organism in Eukaryota, Metazoa, Arthropoda, Insecta, Hymenoptera, Apidae. The transcript is spliced from 2 exons.